GUUACAGACACUUCAGGUUACAGACUCCACUAACCCAGAAAUAGUACCUCGGGUUGAGAACUUUACCUCAGGAUGAGAACAGAAAUCACACGGCAGUGGGCGGCCCCCUUAGCUAAAGUGGUACCUCAGGUUAAGAACAGUUUCAGGUUAAGAACAGACCUCUGGAACGAAUUAAGUUCUUAACCCGAGGUACCACUGUAUAGCUGUUAAUGAUAAAUUAGCAUGGGCCAUUAAGGUAAGACAGUGAAUAUGCAGGAGAAAUGAUUUUGAGGAGAUAUGGAGGGUGUUUGUACAAUUUGUGCUGUUUAAACGGAAAAGGGGUCAAACCACCGCAAGAGGUGUUGAAAUCUUGGGAAAUUGGAUAGUUACAGUGGAAUGGUCUCGGGGGGUUGGAGGCACAAUGUUUAUUUAUGAUUAUUACUUGUCCCCCCAAAAAAGAAAAUUUUAAAAGGGAGGACCAAGAAGUAAAGGGUCAAGAAACAAAACGUUAUGAGGAAUGGUGGAGGGAGUUGGGUCUGCUUAGCCUGGAGAAGGGACAACUGAGAGGAGGUAGGAGAGCUAUCUUCCAAUACUUGAAGGGCCACCACAUGGAAGAUGGAAAAAAAUUGUUUCCUGCUGCUCUGAAAGACAGGACUUGUUCUGCUCCUGAGCUGCUGAGAGUGCAGGGACCACCCUACAGCAGGGGUGGGGUGCCACUGGGAAGUCUAGUUUUGUGUGACACCUCAGACCUCUGAGCAGAACAGAGGCCACCUUAGGAAUCCUGGGCUCCUCUGGCCACUGGAUGCAAAGAAGCCCCAUCCCACAGGAAGAGAGAGAGAGCUUCUCUGGCCAAAGACAUCUCUCAACCUUGGAAUUCUGCUCUGUUGCAGGGAAGCCUGGGCAAUGUCCUGGGGCUCAGCCAGGUAUGGUCGGACCCUGCGUGGUUUGGUGUAAGAAUGACUGGUCAUGCCCUGGAGUUCAGAAGUGCUGCGGGAGUUGCCCACGAGCUUGUGCUUAUCCUGUCAGAGGGAAGCCUGGACGAUGCCCCCCGAAUCAAGGUGUGGGAAACUGCAUUGCACGGUGUAGAAAUGACUGGUCCUGCCCCGGUGUUCAGAAGUGCUGCGGCAGUUGCCCACAAGAUUGCCGUUUUCCUGUCUAAGUUUCUCUGCCGCAGAAGACCUUGGAUGGACCGGAUGACCAGAAACAAGGAAUGGAGCUUAGCCUGUAUCAUCUGAAGACCUGCUGACCUCUCCGAAUGUGACCAUCAAGGCACCACGAUCUGAGACCUUGGCUUUCUACCAACUUGUCAGGUUUCUGGUCGUUGAGCAAAGUUUGCUCCAUCCGGCAUCCUCUUUUUCUUUUGCACAAUAAAGGCAUUGACUCAUCUGCAUGCUAGACUGUGUGUGUGUGUGUGUGUUCACUGCUUCCUUCUCCAGUGUUGUGCCCAACUUUGAUGUCCCAAUGGGGCAGGGUUGAGGAACCUUCAGCCCACCUGCCAAUCUUGCCCCACCAGCCUUCCACGUUUGGUCCUCAAGGCCAUUUGGGGCAAGCCAU
Molecule: long non-coding RNA, 1533 nt
Filed under: Podarcis muralis (Common wall lizard)
Lineage: Eukaryota; Metazoa; Chordata; Lepidosauria; Squamata; Lacertidae
Description: lncRNA (ENSPMRG00000007155.1)
Source: RNAcentral